UGGGAGGCUGGUACACAAAUCAGACUGAAGAAUCGGUGGAGUGUCACCAUAUGGCCCGAGAAUAAACUGCCUUUUGAUGACCAGGACAAAUUGAGAGAAAUCAUAAGGGACAGAUACAGGGCAGAUAGUU
Small nucleolar RNA from Otolemur garnettii (small-eared galago), 130 nucleotides. The record is from Ensembl. Lineage: Eukaryota; Metazoa; Chordata; Mammalia; Primates; Galagidae.